GGGCGAUUAGCUCAGUUGGUUAGAGCACCUGCCUUACAAGCAGGGGGUCAUAGGUUCGAGUCCUAUAUUGCCCACCA
RNAcentral lists this transfer RNA (77 nucleotides) under Mollicutes bacterium. RNAcentral's name for it is "tRNA-Val". It matches the Rfam family "tRNA". Rfam says of the family: Transfer RNA (tRNA) molecules are approximately 80 nucleotides in length. Their secondary structure includes four short double-helical elements and three loops (D, anti-codon, and T loops). The record is from RNAcentral. Lineage: Bacteria; Bacillati; Mycoplasmatota; Mollicutes.